GUGGGGGAUAUUGCACAAUGGGGGGAACCCUGAUGCAGCGACGCCGCGUGAGCGAAGAAGUACCUCGGUAUGUAAAGCUCUAUCAGCAGGGAAGAAAAUGACGGUACCUGACUAAGAAGCCCCGGCUAAAUACGUGCCAGCAGCCGCGGUAAUACGUAUGGGGCAAGCGUUAUCCGGAUUUACUGGGUGUAAAGGGAGCGCAGGCGGCCUGCCAAGUCUGGUGUGAAAACCCGGGGCUCAACCCCGGGCCUGCAUUGGAAACUGGCGGGCUGGAGUGUCGGAGGGGCAGGCGGAAUUCCUAGUGUAGCGGUGAAAUGCGUAGAUAUUAGGAGGAACACCGGUGGCGAAGGCGGCCUGCUGGACGAUGACUGACGCUGAGGCUCGAAAGCGUGGGGAGCAAACAGGA
This 406-nucleotide ribosomal RNA is filed under the name uncultured bacterium. RNAcentral describes it as "bacterial SSU rRNA". It matches the Rfam family "Bacterial small subunit ribosomal RNA", at positions 354 to 777 of the family's 1533-position model. The record is from RNAcentral.